Molecule: ribosomal RNA, 379 nt
Filed under: uncultured eukaryote
Lineage: Eukaryota
Description: SSU rRNA
Rfam family: Eukaryotic small subunit ribosomal RNA
Source: RNAcentral
AGCUCCAAUAGCGUAUAUUAAAGUUGUUGUGGUUAAAAAGCUCGUAGUUGGAUCUCAGUUCGCGCUAGGCGGUGUGGCCCUGUGUCACUACUGUCGCAGCCGGACACUUGCCAUCGUCGUGCUGCGGUGUCCUUUACCGGAUGUCGUAGUCGGUUGGCUGUUUACUUUGAAAAAAUUAGAGUGCUCAAAGCAGGCUAACGCCUGAAUAAUGUUGCAUGGAAUAAUGAAAUAGGACUUUGGUUCUAUUUUGUUGGUCUUCGGAGCCGAGGUAAUGAUUAAGAGGGACAGACGGGGGCAUUAGUAUUGCGACGCUAGAGGUGAAAUUCUUGGACCGUCGCAAGACUAACUAAAGCGAAAGCAUUUGCCAAGAAUGUUUUCA